GGUUGAUUCUCUUAUGCGUUGUGUAUUAUGCGCUAUGCAAAAGUCUGUAUUCUGGCCCAUAAUAUUAUUCUACGCACACAGAUGUCUAUACUAUACUAGAUUGCUAACUUCGAUUUUUGACCUAUACAAGAGCUGUGUCCCGCCUAUUUUCCGGUUCGGCUAUGAAGACCGCCAAAACAUGGCGGCGGUGUGUGUUUAUAGUGCGUACGUGAGUAUCCGAUGCGUGUGUAGUAGUACUGUACUGUAAGUAUGUGAUACCUGAUGUGUCUACACUGAUGUGUCGUAUCUACUGCUAUUUAUAUUAGUAAAACUGCAAAUAUAUAAACGAGAUAAUGCCAAGUACAUGUUGCAUUGUUAAUUGCAAUAAUACGAAUAAAAAAGGAUAUCACUUAUUUAAAUUUCCGAUAAAACGUCCAGAGAUUUAAAAAAAAUGGAUUUGUGCAAUCGGAGGAAAUUUUACACCAAAAAAACACCAUGUAAUCUGUAGUGCUCACUUUUUAC
This 501-nucleotide long non-coding RNA is filed under the name Harpegnathos saltator (Jerdon's jumping ant). RNAcentral describes it as "uncharacterized LOC112588712". Lineage: Eukaryota; Metazoa; Arthropoda; Insecta; Hymenoptera; Formicidae. The record is from RNAcentral.